RNAcentral lists this ribosomal RNA (402 nucleotides) under uncultured bacterium. Its description in RNAcentral is "bacterial SSU rRNA". It matches the Rfam family "Bacterial small subunit ribosomal RNA", at positions 356 to 773 of the family's 1533-position model. The record is from RNAcentral.
GGGGAAUAUUGCACAAUGGGCGAAAGCCUGAUGCAGCAACGCCGCGUGAACGAUGAAGGCCCUUGGGUCGUAAAGUUCUGUCCUUGGGGAAGAAAAAAAUGACGGUACCCAAGAAGAAAGCCCCGGCUAAUUACGUGCCAGCAGCCGCGGUAAUACGUAAGGGGCGAGCGUUAUCCGGAAUUAUUGGGCGUAAAGAGUAUGUAGGUGGUUCUUUAAGCGUGGGGUUUAAUGCAUUGGCUCAACCAAUGUUUGCCUUGCGAACUGGAGAACUUGAGUAUAGGAGAGGAAAGCGGAAUUCCUAGUGUAGCGGUGAAAUGCGUAGAUAUUAGGAGGAACACCAGAGGCGAAGGCGGCUUUCUGGACUAUUACUGACACUGAGAUACGAAAGCGUGGGGAGCAAAC